GCGAGUCGAGCGCAGGCAAACUGACGGAACUCUUCGGAGGGAAGGCAGUGGAAUGAGCGUUUGACGGGUGAGUAACACGUAAGGAACCUGCCUCAAGGAUUGGGAUAACUCCGAGAAAUCGGAGCUAAUACCGGAUAGUUCAUCGGACCGCAUGGUCCGUUGAUGAAAGGCGCUCCGGCGUCACCUUGAGAUGGCCUUGCGGUGCAUUAGCUAGUUGGUGGGGUAACGGCCCACCAAGGCGACGAUGCAUAGCCGACCUGAGAGGGUGAUCGGCCACACUGGGACUGAGACACGGCCCAGACUCCUACGGGAGGCAGCAGUAGGGAAUCUUCCACAAUGGACGAAAGUCUGAUGGAGCAACGCCGCGUGAGUGAUGAAGGUUUUCGGAUCGUAAAACUCUGUUGUAAGGGAAGAACACGUACGAGAGGGAAUGCUCGUACCUUGACGGUACCUUACGAGAAAGCCACGGCUAACUACGUGCCAGCAGCCGCGGUAAUACGUAGGUGGCAAGCGUUGUCCGGAAUUAUUGGGCGUAAAGCGCGCGCAGGCGGCCUUUUAAGUCUGAUGUGAAAGCCCCCGGCUCAACCGGGGAGGGCCAUUGGAAACUGGAAGGCUUGAGUACAGAAGAGAAGAGUGGAAUUCCACGUGUAGCGGUGAAAUGCGUAGAGAUGUGGAGGAACACCAGUGGCGAAGGCGACUCUUUGGUCUGUAACUGACGCUGAGGCGCGAAAGCGUGGGGAGCAAACAGGAUUAGAUACCCUGGUAGUCCACGCCGUAAACGAUGAGUGCUAGGUGUUGGGGGGGUUUCCGCCCCUCAGUGCUGAAGCUAACGCAUUAAGCACUCCGCCUGGGGGAGUACGGCCGCCAGGCUGAAACUCAAAGGAAUUGACGGGGGACCCGCACAAGCGGUGGAGCAUGUGGUUUAAUUCCGAAGCAACGCGAAAAAACCUUUACCAACU
This 959-nucleotide ribosomal RNA is filed under the name Exiguobacterium indicum. RNAcentral's name for it is "bacterial SSU rRNA". It matches the Rfam family "Bacterial small subunit ribosomal RNA", at positions 42 to 980 of the family's 1533-position model. The record is from RNAcentral. Lineage: Bacteria; Bacillati; Bacillota; Bacilli; Caryophanales.